RNAcentral lists this unclassified non-coding RNA (140 nucleotides) under Oryza sativa (Asian cultivated rice). Its description in RNAcentral is "partial microRNA MIR455b-29 precursor". The record is from RNAcentral. Lineage: Eukaryota; Viridiplantae; Streptophyta; Magnoliopsida; Poales; Poaceae.
CUCCGUUUCACAAUGUAAGUCAUUCUAACAUUUUCCACAUUCAUAUUAAUGUUAAUGAAUCUAGAUAUAUAUAUAUGUCUAUAUUCAUUAACAUCAAUAUGAAUGUGGGAAAUGCUAGAAUGACUUACAUUGUGAAACGG